RNAcentral lists this ribosomal RNA (477 nucleotides) under uncultured bacterium. Its description in RNAcentral is "bacterial SSU rRNA". It matches the Rfam family "Bacterial small subunit ribosomal RNA", at positions 365 to 832 of the family's 1533-position model. The record is from RNAcentral.
UUCGCAAUGCCCGAAAGGGUGACGAAGCGACGCCGCGUGCGGGAAGAAGGCCUUCGGGUUGUAAACCGCUGUCGGGAGUUAAGAAAUGUAAGGAUGUUAAUAGCAUCUUUGCUUGACCAAGGCUCCGGAGGAAGCCACGGCUAACUCUGUGCCAGCAGCCGCGGUAAUACAGAGGCGGCAAGCGUUGUUCGGAAUUAUUGGGCGUAAAGAGCACGUAGGCGGCUAUGUAAGUCGGUUGUGAAAGCCUUCCGCUCAACGGGAGAACAGCAUCCGAUACUGCAUGGCUUGAGUGCGGGAGGGGAGAGUGGAACUUCUGGUGGAGCGGUGAAAUGCGUAGAUAUCAGAAGGAACGCCGGCGGCGAAAGCGGCUCUCUGGCCCAUAACUGACGCUGAGUGUGCGAAAGCUAGGGGAGCAAACGGGAUUAGAUACCACGGUAGUCCUAGCCGUAAACGAUGGGCACUAAGUAGAGGGGUUUU